AAACGCGGCGCGGAGCCGGAACAGCGCCCCCCCCUCCCCCUGCGGCGGGGGCGGGAACAGCGCCCCCCCCUCCCCUCACCCUCUGAGGGGGUCGCUGUGAGGGGGUGGAAGGGGGGGAGGACGCGCCAAAGUUUUGGGAAACUUUCCCCUGUUUGAAGGUUGAGGGGUCGUUUCUAAGCUCCCCCCGCCCUCUCGCCGCGGUGCCCUGAGCGCCCUCAGAGCGGCUCCCACAGCGGCGCCGCCUGUGCCGCCCCCCCCCGCCCCAUCCUUCAGUGUGUCAGCGCACCUGGGUUUUUCCCCUCAUUCCUUCCCUCCCUCCCUCCCUCCCUGGGAGCCGCUCUCCCUGCGCCCCACAGAUAAGGCGCUGGGCUCACCCCACCCCACGGGGCGCUCGGUUGUGCUGGAUAAGCAGGGCCCCGCCACGUUGAGGGGAAGUUUGCCCCGUUUCUUUCCCCCCCCCCCCGGGUGUUUGACUUCGCACAGGAUCCCCCCCCCAGAGCACCCUCCCUUAACCCCGCAGGGAGCUGCGAUCACCCCUCACUCCCCCCAAUCCAUCCCCCUGUCCCGGUUACACUCGUGUCCUCCUAUUAACCCUGUGCAGAGAGGACAAAAGCUAAACUAUGAUCCUGGCUCUGCCUCUCUCCCCCCCCCCCCCCCCAUCCCGCUCCCGGCUCCAUGAGCUUCACAUCCUCCUGCUAAGGCUGAAAGGAACAAGAACAAGAGCUGCUGAUGGUUGUAAGGCCUCGCUCGGCUCUCCCCACCCCCUCCGCCGGCACCAUCCCCCACUGCAGCUCCCAUGGACUCGUAUCCCUCCCAUUAACGCUGAAAGGGGAGGACAGGAGCCCUGAUGGGUUUUUCUCAGGCUUUACUCUUGUUUUCUCCCCACCGCCACCCACCCACACACACGCACACCCCCCUCUCUACCAACCGGCACCAGCUCCACAGCCCCUGCAGAAGUGCAGAGCUGGCUCUGCCGGCACAUCCAUGGAUGCCCCUUUCCCUCUGAGCACAUCCAUGAAAUGUCCCUUCCCUCUCAGCUCCAAGGGGGAAAAAAAAAAAAAAAAAUAGAAAAAAAAAAAAAACCACCCUCGUUCUGCUUAUUCAUUAUAAGCGCUUGGCAGUGUGCUGUUAAAAACGUGCGAUCUCUUGUUUUUAGAAGCAUCUGUGCUUUAAGAAUAAGGUUUUGUCUCCUUGAAUGUGGCUCUUCAUAAUAAUCUCUCGAAGUGCUGCGUUUUUGUCCUUAAAGUUCUAUUUUAUUACCUCUUCUGGAUCGGUGAAGGUCGGUUUAACCCUUUAGAGAUGAAAAUCAGGAGCCACUUUAGGAAAAUGUUGCUUUUUUUUUCUUUACUAAUUCGUGGUUGCAAUAAUAUUUUAUUGAGGAUUUUUUCCCCCCAGCUCAGUCCUGCAUGCUGAAGGAAGUGUGUGCUUCAGCACUGAUUAAAGUCAUGUAUGAGUUAAUGAGAAGCUUGCAGAGUAUGUGAAGCAAGAGAAAAUCUUUAACCAGCUCUGCUGUUCCUUCUACAUACCACAAACUUGCACGCUGUAACCAGAAGGUGGAUUGAAUAUGUGUGAAAUGCUGCAGUAGGAGACUCUGAAAUCGCAUCACAGGUUAGUAGAUGGAUAGCACAGAAGAGCCUCUGAGGUGCUGGAGGUACCAGCAGUGGUGUCAACAUUCCUGUUGUGGGACUUCUAAUUUAAGAAAUGUAUUGUCAUAAGGAAUAAGAUCAAGGCUGAAUCCUGCUUGCAUUUAGGUCCAAAUGCAAAAUAUGCUUUGGAAGGAGUCCCCAGGGAACACUGAGAGUAAUUAAGUAAAAAUAAAACCUUUCACUUCAGCCCCCCCCCUUCUUUUAACACAGACAAGUCAGUGCAAUGCUGUUUUCAUUCCACCAUUUUCAUUAUGUGUCCUGAUAUUUCUUAAUUUUGUAUUGCAUCUGAAAUCCUCGAGUGACUUAUAAUUUCUGUGAUUUGGGGGUAUUUCUAGACCAUACUUUUAAAGAAGUCAUCUCACUGUGUCCCAGAAGGAGCCAUUGAACAGUCAUUCUCAUAAACAGCACUGAACUUCUUACAGCCUCCCUUUUCCAAACACCUUUUUUUUCUCCCCCCCUGUAAUUUUAAUCCUUAACUAUUGAAUUCCCUUUUCUUUACAUUAAGUAAAUAUUUAUUAAUACCUGUUGAGGGGGUUUUUUUCAUCUUUUUAAAAGAACAGAGCCUUGUCACUAAGAUGAUCCUUUCGUAUUGAGGAGAUGACAUCAAAAAGGAGUGAAGGAGAGUUGUCUUGUGCUGGAAAAUGCCAUUUUUGGAAAACAAUACUAUAGGAAAUGGAAAUGAAAAAUACAUUUUAUGCUGGUGGGAACUUGUAAUGAGGCUAAGAGAGGAUUUGAUGUCCCAGAAAAGCAAUGAUUACAAGGGGAAAAGCGGGACUUUAUCAUCCAUUUGUAAAAGUUCUCGGGCUGAAUAUCCUUUUGGGGAGCUGAAAUUUGGCUCAAGUCUGCUUAUGAACAUCUGUUGAAUGGAAUUUUAAAAAGGCACAGAUUAUAAUCUUGGUUUCUGUUGGCUGUUUAAGAUGAUAAAAUAAAGCAAAAUAAAUGUUUCUGCAAGUACGUUUGGGGAGUUUUUUUGUUAAUAAUGAGGUGGGUGAAUGUUCAAUUGCCUCUACUGCUGGUUACCUGGUUGGAUAUGUGUUUCCAUACAUUUUUCUCCAUUGCAUAUAAAAUAUUCCCUCUACCCCUUUCUAUAGCUGUUUAAUUCCAUUUGAACACUCCUUGUAAGCUUUUGAGUUUUGGUCGGUUUGUUUUGUUUUGGGUGUUUUGUUGUUGUUUUUUUUUUUUUGUGACAGGAGGCUCUUGGAUUUUGGCAUCUGUGACAUUUUUUUGCACCAAGAACACAGUGAUACAUUUGAAGGGAAAUUUUGAGAGAGCUCUUGGGUAUUCCCAGAACUGCUUCGAUUCACAUCCUGCCCACCUGUCCCUCUGACAGGAUUCUGUAAAUUCAACCACUUUGUGUCCACUGGCUCUGGGUAGCACCACUUCAGCAUCUAUUUCUGCAGCAUUUGUGACCUCCAGUUAUUCAGGGAGGUCUUCACUGUAAUUUUCCCUCCUAUUAUUUUGCCUCUUUUCGCAGCCUGAUGUUUUUUUUUUUUUGCUCUUGUUUUCUCUUCCAAGCGAGGAUGCUGUGAGUGCUUCAGCUCAGAAUUUAGGUCACCUCCGAUGGAAGAAGAGAGACCUAAAAAGUAAAAAUAAGAUUUCAAUGUGUGCCUUUAAAAGUGACAACUCUUUGGGAGAAAAAAAAAACAAAACCAAACGUACGAGCUCACCUGUAUUUUGUGGCAGUAGGGAAUGGAGGGAGCCUCUUCUGAUCCCAGAAGGAAAGCUGAGUAUCUCCUUGGGAGUGUGGUUCCUCUUCCACGUUUUCCUGAUCUUUCAUUUUCACACCUGAUUUGAGCUUUAAUCACUCAAAUUAUUCAUAGGCUUGCCCUGGAAAAAGAAGAGAGUGACCUUUCCCCAUCUGGAGUAGAUGGAUUUGCCAUCAACAAUUGUAAGUGGGUGACUUAAUGAUGGGGGUCUACGCCUGGGAUUUUGAAUUCUGUGAUUUCACCGCGUUUCCGGAGUUCUGCACAUGGUCUUUUCUGAACUGAAAGAUGAAGAGGUGGCAGACCCAAGGAAGGAGCCUUUGCCUAAAACAAACACUGUGUGUUUGAAAUCAUGAAAUCAUGGUGCUCAGACAGUUCAGAACAGGAGAUCCCAAGAAGGGCAGCUGUGGUUUGUUGCUGUGGUUUGUUGCUGUGUUGCCAGAGCAGGUAUGUUCUGUGUGGAGAGAUGAAGAGACCUGAGAUGGAAGACACAGGUGAUCCAUAUUCCUGGAGUGUUAUUUAUGACAGAAACAAAGAACCCUCAGAAAAGCCAGACCUGUGGUGUGAGCUUCUGGGAGGUGCAACCCUUUGGGAUUUUUGGAAAGCUGUACCCUUAGGAAGUCCUGGUUCUCCAACAGUUCCCUGCAGAGGCAGAGGACCCCUCUCUCCUGAGGUGACAGUGUGUGCAGGCUCAGCUCCACAAGGAUCACUGCUUAGCUCUCCAAGCACUGUCUGACACAGGGAAUGUGCUGAGCUGGUCCCUACUCCAGGGCCCACAUUAAUUCUCUCUGUGUUCCGUGUUUCUUCACGCUCCUGUGACCCGGAUGAAUUUACCAGGGGACUGACUGGGGUGUUCAAUUUUCCUGUGUACAUUCCU
This is a long non-coding RNA of Chiroxiphia lanceolata (lance-tailed manakin), 4226 nucleotides long. RefSeq lists it as uncharacterized. The record is from RefSeq and is a predicted model, not a curated record. Lineage: Eukaryota; Metazoa; Chordata; Aves; Passeriformes; Pipridae. The transcript is spliced from 3 exons.